This 477-nucleotide ribosomal RNA is filed under the name uncultured bacterium. RNAcentral's name for it is "partial 16S ribosomal RNA". It matches the Rfam family "Bacterial small subunit ribosomal RNA", at positions 29 to 507 of the family's 1533-position model. The record is from RNAcentral.
AUGAACGCUGGCGGCGUGCUUAACACAUGCAAGUCGAACGGGAAUUACUUUAUUGAAACUUCGGUCGAUUUAAUUUAAUUCUAGUGGCGGACGGGUGAGUAACGCGUGGGUAACCUGCCUUAUACAGGGGGAUAACAGUCAGAAAUGGCUGCUAAUACCGCAUAAGCGCACAGAGCUGCAUGGCUCGGUGUGAAAAACUCCGGUGGUAUAAGAUGGACCCGCGUUGGAUUAGCUUGUUGGUGGGGUAACGGCCCACCAAGGCGACGAUCCAUAGCCGGCCUGAGAGGGUGAACGGCCACAUUGGGACUGAGACACGGCCCAGACUCCUACGGGAGGCAGCAGUGGGGAAUAUUGCACAAUGGGGGAAACCCUGAUGCAGCGACGCCGCGUGAAGGAAGAAGUAUCUCGGUAUGUAAACUUCUAUCAGCAGGGAAGAUAGUGACGGUACCUGACUAAGAAGCCCCGGCUAACUACGUG